GAGGGAAACAACCUGUGAGAGAGUAGACUAGGAUAUAUAUGUGCUGAAGAAUACAUCCCUGGCUCUAAAACAUUUAUGAUUCCAAACAGGGUGUGUGCUUUUGUUUGUGAUAUGGGAGGGACGUCUAGGUAUAGGGAAUAAGAAUUGAGCUCAAGCAUUUUUGAGGAUAAGAUAGCACCCACUCUGAGGAAAUAGAAUACCAAACACUAAUGCUGACAUUUUUACUCUUUCUGGCAAACAUCUGUGAAUUACUUUAAUAAGUCAGGCACUGGUGUGGGGCUACACAUAAGAAGUGGGUCAUAGGUAGGAAGAGUUUGGGGAGUGGUGUGGGGAAAACAUGUCACAGGACAUGGUGGCUGGAAACAACCUCUGUCUCUAAAAGAGAUUACACAGAGAGAAGAGUAGGUGAGUGGUAGACGGUUCUCCACAACUUACUAGACUUCAGAGAUGCAGUUUCAGGACAAGAGGAGCAACUGACACAGUAAUUUCCUGUGGCUAGAUUCUGUGGUCCAUCAAAAUGAAACCAGGUUGUCUGGACAAGUGGCUUGAAAUAUCGAUGCAUGGAGGAAGAAAUGCCUAAUGAGAGCCUGAUAUUUUUCAUCCUCCCAAGGACUCCUGGGAUCGCAAGUAAGACUCAGGUGUUUGUUCACAGCAGUGACGAAUCUAACUACCAUGGUUCUUACGUGCGAGAAGUGAUGGGUCUUAGUAAGGAAAGAAAGAGUUUAUUGGAAGUGUAUUUAGGGUGCCAUUGGCUGUGAAUCCGGCCAUUUCAGAGAGUAAACAGAACCACAUAAUACAGAGAGGCACAAACACA
Non-coding RNA from Rattus norvegicus (Norway rat), 814 nucleotides. The record is from RefSeq and is a predicted model, not a curated record. Lineage: Eukaryota; Metazoa; Chordata; Mammalia; Rodentia; Muridae.